UUGUUUUAUUAUUUUUUUUAUUUUGUUUUUCUACCAUAAGACAAACAUUUUUCAAGCACCAUCAAGCCCACCAACAAGAAACAGUCAUUAGUUGAAAAAAUAAGUAAAAAAGAAGAUGAGAGCAAAGAAAACCCCUUAUGAAAUAAAAAUUAAAAAGGAAUCGUACCACUGUCAUUUGAAUUCCUCUGUUUGCUCAGUGCUUUGGCUAAGUUGGAAAAAAAUGCACCUAAAAACUCAAGAAAAUUAAUAUACACCAAAAGGCCAAAACUUCAAAUUUAUUACCUGAACUUUCACUGGCUGGAUAUUUGGAUUUCUUCUGAUCACCUUCACCAGUGACAGUUAAAAAUAUCUUAAAUAAAAUCAAAUUGAAAUAUGACAACUAAGGAAGUUAUAAAUGCAAAAGUUGCAUACAUCCUCCAAUGAACAGUCUGUGAUCCCGUAAGAUGCAAUUUUCAGCUGUCCUUCAUUAGCAUCCAAGUGGUCACAGAGCCUCGCAAUCUGAGAAGAAUUUCUUUCUGGAAGUGUAUACUUGACUUCUGAGCCUUUAUGAUCUUCAAGUUUUGCUUCCGGUAUUAUUUUUCUUAUUGCAGCUGUUACUCCUAAUAUCAAGAAAUUAUUUUCCGUGCAUUAAAAGAAGAGAAAGAUCGAAGAAAUUGAAUUUAAAAUAUUACCUUCAACAUCAAUUUUUCUCAACGGGGCUGACUAUAAAAAAAACAAGAUCACAGUAAAAAAUGUUAUAAGAAAAGACAAUUACUUACUAUUGUAUAUUGUGCCGAGGCUGGUUCGGGAUCUUUUUCCAUAGGCGCAAUUUCAAGUGUGAUCUCAUAACCCUUACCAAAUCUCUCUUUAAGGAAAGCAACGGAUCCUGCACACCUGACCUUCCCUUGAGCGACAAUAGCAACCCUGUCGCUUAACAGGUCUGCUUCAUCCAUGUAGUGGGUUGUAAGAAUCACAGUUCUGUCUGUAAGCAAUAAACACGUCUGAAUUCAAA
Molecule: long non-coding RNA, 991 nt
Organism: Cimex lectularius (bed bug)
Lineage: Eukaryota; Metazoa; Arthropoda; Insecta; Hemiptera; Cimicidae
Exons: 2
Source: RefSeq, a predicted model, not a curated record